GUGUAAUCAUUUCUAGGUAGAGGCCCAUCUCCACAUAGACCCAGUGUAAUCAUUUCUAGGUAGAGGCCCAUCUCCACAUAGACCCAGUGUAAUCAUUUCUAGGUAGAGGCCCAUCUCCACAUAGACCCAGUGUAAUAAUUUCUAGGUAAAGGCCCAUCUCCACAUAGACCCAGUGUAAUCAUUUCUAGGUAGAGACCCAUCUCCACAUAGACCCAGUGUAAUCAUUUCUAGGUAGAGACCCAUCUCCACAUAGACCCAGUGUAAUCAUUUCUAGGUAAAGGCCCAUCUCCACAUAGACCCAGUGUUAUCAUUUCUAGGUAGAGACCCAUCUCCACAUAGACCCAGAG
Long non-coding RNA from Esox lucius (northern pike), 347 nucleotides. The record is from Ensembl. NCBI's taxonomy places the organism in Eukaryota, Metazoa, Chordata, Actinopteri, Esociformes, Esocidae.